UAACACGUAGGAGGCGAACGUUAUCCGGAUUUACUGGGCGUAAAGCGCGUGUAGGUGGUUUGGUAAGUAGGGCGUGAAAGCUCCCGGCUCAACUGGGAGAGGCCGUUCUAAACUGCCAAGCUAGAGGAUGGUAGAGGGAGGUGGAAUUCCGGGUGUAGCGGUGGAAUGCGCAGAUAUCCGGAGGAACACCAGUGGCGAAGGCGGCCUCCUGGGCCACUCCUGACACUCAGACGCGAAAGCUAGGGUAGCAAACGGGAUUAGAGACCCCGGUAGUCCUAGCCCUAAACGAUGUAGACUUGGCGUCGGUGGUUUAAACGCCAUCGGUAUCGCAGCUAACGCGAUAAGUCUACCGNCUGGGGACUACGNCCGCAAGGUUAAAACUCAAAGGAAUUGACGGGGGCCCGCACAAGCAGCGGAGCAUGUGGUUUAAUUCGAAGCAACGCGAAGAACCUUACCAGAACUUGACAUCGUCUGAAUCAUCCGUAAUGGGAAAAAUCCUUCGGGACAGACAGACAGGUGGUGCAUGGUUGUCGUCAGCUCGUGUCGUGAGAUGUUCGGUUAAGUCCGCUAACGAGCGCAACCCUCGCUGUGUGUUACAAGUGUCACACGGUACUGCCGGUAUUAAGUCGGAGGAAGGUGGGGAUGACGUCAAGUCAGCAUGACCUUUAUAUCCAGGGCUACACACACGCUACAAUGGUCAGUACAAUAGGUUGCCAAGCCGCGAGGCGGAGCCAAUCCUAAAAAGCUGGCCUCAGUUCAGAUUGCAGUCUGCAACUCGACUGCAUGAAGUCGGAGUUGCUAGUAACCGCAGGUCAGCUAUACUGCGGUGAAUACGUUCCCGGGGAUUGUACACACCGCCCGUCAAGUCAUGGGAGCUGGCAACACCUGAAGCCGGUAUCCUAACCCGUAAGGGAGGGAGCUGUCAAAGGUGGGGUUGGUGACUGGGACU
RNAcentral lists this ribosomal RNA (949 nucleotides) under uncultured bacterium. RNAcentral's name for it is "bacterial SSU rRNA". It matches the Rfam family "Bacterial small subunit ribosomal RNA", at positions 521 to 1482 of the family's 1533-position model. The record is from RNAcentral.